This 338-nucleotide ribosomal RNA is filed under the name Pseudomonas sp. Its description in RNAcentral is "bacterial SSU rRNA". It matches the Rfam family "Bacterial small subunit ribosomal RNA", at positions 1080 to 1416 of the family's 1533-position model. Lineage: Bacteria; Pseudomonadati; Pseudomonadota; Gammaproteobacteria; Pseudomonadales; Pseudomonadaceae. The record is from RNAcentral.
AUAAUUCCCAUUCCGAACACAACCCUUGCCCAUACAACACACCACCUUCGGGGGGUCUCUCUAAGGAGGCUGCCGGUCACAAACCGGAGGAAGUUGGGGAUGACGUCAAGUCAUCAUGGCCCUUGCGGCCAGGGCUACACACGUGCUACAAUUGGUCGGUACAAAGGGUUGCCAAGCCGCGAGGUGGAGCUAAUCCCAUAAAACCGAUCGUAGUCCGGAUCGCAGUCUGCAACUCGACUGCGUGAAGUCGGAAUCGCUAGUAAUCGUGAAUCAGAAUGUCACGGUGAAUACGUUCCCGGGCCUUGUACACACCGCCCGUCUACACGGAUGGGCAGGGG